CGUCAAAUCAUCAUGCCCUUUAUGUCCUGGGCUACACACGUAAUACAAUGGCGGCACAAAGCGAGGCGAGCCUGAGAGGGUGAAGCGAAGCGCAUAAAGCCGCCCGUAGUUCGGAUUGAAGUCUGAAACCCGACUUCAUGAAGCUGGAAUCGCUAGUAAUCGCGCAUCAGCAUGGCGCGGUGAAUACGUUCCCGGGCCUU
Molecule: ribosomal RNA, 200 nt
Filed under: uncultured prokaryote
Description: partial 16S ribosomal RNA
Rfam family: Bacterial small subunit ribosomal RNA
Source: RNAcentral